UCAAACUUGGUCAUUUAGAGGAAGUAAAAGUCGUAACAAGGUUUCCGUAGGUGAACCUGCGGAAGGAUCAUUCGAAAAAGAGUGCCGGAAACGGUGUUCUCUGGCAAGCCCACUUCUGUGGGGUGGCUUUUGUGUGCAACUGUUAAAGACACGCUUUGUCUUUUUUUUUAAUCCAAAGAGCUGAGAAUGGCUCGAAAUGCCUGAAAAUUACAAGAAUGGAAAAUUCAUAAACACAACUUUCAACAACGGAUCUCUUGGCUCUCACAUCGAUGAAGAACGCAGC
Molecule: unclassified non-coding RNA, 283 nt
Filed under: uncultured fungus
Lineage: Eukaryota; Fungi
Description: partial contains small subunit ribosomal RNA, internal transcribed spacer 1, and 5.8S ribosomal RNA
Rfam family: Eukaryotic small subunit ribosomal RNA (bases 1-73)
Source: RNAcentral